RNAcentral lists this non-coding RNA (31 nucleotides) under Homo sapiens (human). The record is from RNAcentral. Lineage: Eukaryota; Metazoa; Chordata; Mammalia; Primates; Hominidae.
UUCCAGGUUUGACUCUCCAGCACAGAGCAGA